This 497-nucleotide ribosomal RNA is filed under the name uncultured bacterium. Its description in RNAcentral is "partial 16S ribosomal RNA". It matches the Rfam family "Bacterial small subunit ribosomal RNA", at positions 28 to 507 of the family's 1533-position model. The record is from RNAcentral.
GACGAACGCUGGCGGCGUGCCUAAUACAUGCAAGUCGAGCGGACAGACGGUAGCUUGCUCCCUUAUGUUAGCGGCGGACGGGUGAGUAACACGUGUGUAACCUGCCUUUAAUACUGGGAUAACUCCGGGAAACCGGGGCUAAUACCGGAUGGUUGUCUGAACCGCAUGGUUCGGACAUAAAAGUUGGCUUCGGCUACCACUUACGGAUGGACCCGCGGCGCAUUAGCUAGUUGGUGAGGUAACGGCUCACCAAGGCAACGAUGCGUAGCCUGCCUGAGAGGGUGAGCGGCCAAACUGGGACUGAGACAAGGCCCAGACUCCUAAGGGAGGGAGCCGUAGGGAAUCAUCCGCAAUGGGCGAAAGUCUGACGGCGCAACGCCGCGUGAGUGAUGAAGGUCUUCGGAUCGGAAAGCUCUGUUGUUAGGGAAGAAAAAGUGCCGGUCAAAUAGGGCGGCACCUUGACGGUACCUAAACAGAAAGCAACGGCUAACUACGUG